AUUAGACUCUUUUUUUGUGCGUUCAAGCUUAUUUUGACGAGUUUCGCUACCUCGAGGUGUUCAAAUUUUGUGUGUAAAGGACGUCAAAUGCGCUUGUCAGCGUAACGGAGUUUGCCAAUUUAAUAGAAGAAGAAGGCUCGUAAUGGCGUCCAUACUGUCUUCGCGCAACGGUCGAGUGCACCGGAAGUUCUCGGCCAGUUGCAAGGUUGGAAACAUGCAAGUGAACUAGACGAGGAAGGAAUACCGGAAUUGCAGGGUUACUCAAGAAUGCACGUCAAUUUGAAGAUCCUUCAAGACUGCCAUGUUGUAGAAGGCCAUCACGUGGGUAGAGACAAGACUGUUUGUAGAAUCAAAGUUCUACUGGCUGGGAAUUGUUAGUGAUGUGAAAGAAUUGAUUCAGCGUUGUGAUAUUUGUCAGAGGACUAAACGAAAUUUGACCACCCUUCUGAACUGUUACAUCCAGUUCCAGGUCCAUCAGAGGUCUGGACACAAAUUGCUAUUGACUUAAUUGGACCCCUACCAGAAACAAGUCAUGGAAAUAAGUAUGUCACAUAAUACUAGUUGUAUGGUGUCUGUAGGCGCCUCGUGUUUGUGAGUAACACGUCCAAUGGAGCGCGCCAAGUCCUAGCUAGACAAUAAGUAUUUGUUGAAACCCUAGCUGUCAUGGAAGUAAACAUGCAAACCUCCUAGUAGUUUAGAUUACGUCUAUAGGCAUGGUAGAGGUAGUCGUCGUUUUGCGAUCGUGAUCAAGACAAUUGAAAUGUACAGUCUAGGUAUGCACUCAGUUCCGUUGUAACGACAGUGGUAUGGUAUUUACUGACAUAGAAAUUGAUAUCAGCAAACAUUGACUAUCAACAGUGUUAGAUGCAACACAGUGUAGUAAAGGAUUGAUUGUAGUAUGGGACGUGUGAAUAGGUGACUGUAGGUGGCAUCCAGCUAAUAAAGGUGUUUCUUGGUUGUCAAGUACACACAAUCUCUAGCUACAAUACAAAAGGAUGGGGCGACGGAAGUUCAUGAAGCUUUUUGGUCGCCAUUUGCUCACCUAAACGAAUAGUUCUGAGACUCAUCUGUAAUCGGACACGGCAAUGAUUUUUUAGUUAAGGU
Molecule: long non-coding RNA, 1104 nt
Organism: Corticium candelabrum
Lineage: Eukaryota; Metazoa; Porifera; Homoscleromorpha; Homosclerophorida; Plakinidae
Exons: 5
Source: RefSeq, a predicted model, not a curated record